GAUGAACGCUGGCGGCGUGCCUAAUACAUGCAAGUCGAGCGAACAGACGAGGAGCUUGCUCCUCUGACGUUAGCGGCGGACGGGUGAGUAACACGUGGAUAACCUACCUAUAAGACUGAGAUAACUUCGGGAAACCGGAGCUAAUACCGGAUAAUAUAUUGAACCGCAUGGUUCAAUAGUGAAAGACGGUUUUGCUGUCACUUAUAGAUGGAUCCGCGCCGCAUUAGCUAGUUGGUAAGGUAACGGCUUACCAAGGCAACGAUGCGUAGCCGACCUGAGAGGGUGAUCGGCCGCACUGGAACUGAGACACGGUCCAGACUCCUACGGGAGGCAGCAGUAGGGAAUCUUCCGCAAUGGGCGAAAGCCUGACGGAGCAACGCCGCGUGAGUGAUGAAGGUCUUCGGAUCGUAAAACUCUGUUAUUAGGGAAGAACAAAUGUGUAAGUAACUAUGCACGUCUUGACGGUACCUAAUCAGAAAGCCACGGCUAACUACGUG
This 497-nucleotide ribosomal RNA is filed under the name uncultured bacterium. RNAcentral's name for it is "partial 16S ribosomal RNA". It matches the Rfam family "Bacterial small subunit ribosomal RNA", at positions 28 to 507 of the family's 1533-position model. The record is from RNAcentral.